Molecule: transfer RNA, 72 nt
Filed under: Coleoptera sp. ACP-2013
Lineage: Eukaryota; Metazoa; Arthropoda; Insecta; Coleoptera
Description: tRNA-Met
Source: RNAcentral
UAAAAAGAUAAGCUAAAUUUUAAAGCUUCCGGGUUCAUACCCCGGCUAUAAAGCCCCCUCUCUUUUCUUUUU